Molecule: ribosomal RNA, 564 nt
Filed under: Odontura aspericauda
Lineage: Eukaryota; Metazoa; Arthropoda; Insecta; Orthoptera; Tettigoniidae
Description: SSU rRNA
Rfam family: Eukaryotic small subunit ribosomal RNA
Source: RNAcentral
AUGAUUCGUGGGACGUCCUGCCGGUGGUGGCGAGUCGAAAGCGUGCUCCCGUUGUGGUAUUCCCAUGACGGUUCUUGCGCGCCGGAGGCGGACCCCGAUGAAAUCCUACCGCGGUGCUCUUCGCCGAGUGUCGAGGUGGGCCGGCACGUUUACUUUGAACAAAUUAGAGUGCUUAAAGCAGGCCUGUUGCGCCUGAAUACUGUGUGCAUGGAAUAAUGGAAUAGGACCUCGGUUCUAUUUUGUUGGUUUUCGGAACCCGAGGUAAUGAUUAAUAGGGACAGGCGGGGGCAUUCGUAUUGCGACGUUAGAGGUGAAAUUCUUGGAUCGUCGCAAGACGGACCGAAGGUGAAAGCAUUUGCCAAGUAUGUUUUCAUUAAUCAAGAACGAAAGUUAGAGGUUCGAAGGCGAUCAGAUACCGCCCUAGUUCUAACCAUAAACGAUGCCAGCUAGCGAUCCGCCGAAGUUCCUCCGAUGACUCGGCGGGCAGCUCCCGGGAAACCAAAGCUUUUGGGUUCCGGGGGAAGUAUGGUUGCAAAGCUGAAACUUAAAGGAAUUGACGGAAGG